CAAUGGACGAAAGUCUGACCGAGCAACGCCGCGUGAGUGAAGAAGGUUUUCGGAUCGUAAAGCUCUGUUGUAAGUCAAGAACGUGUGUGAGAGUGGAAAGUUCACACAGUGACGGUAGCUUACCAGAAAGGGACGGCUAACUACGUGCCAGCAGCCGCGGUAAUACGUAGGUCCCGAGCGUUGUCCGGAUUUAUUGGGCGUAAAGGGAGCGCAGGCGGUCAGGAAAGUCUGGAGUAAAAGGCUAUGGCUCAACCAUAGUGUGCUCUGGAAACUGUCUGACUUGAGUGCAGAAGGGGAGAGUGGAAUUCCAUGUGUAGCGGUGGAAUGCGUAGAUAUAUGGAGGAACACCAGUGGCGAAAGCGGCUCUCUGGUCUGUCACUGACGCUGAGGCUCGAAAGCGUGGGUAGCGAACAGGAUUAGAUACCCUGGUAGUCCACGCCGUAAACGAUGAGUGCUAGGUGUUAGGCCCUUUCCGGGGCUUAGUGCCGGAGCUAACGCAAUAGGCACUCCGCCUGGGGAGUACGACCGCAAGGUUGAAACUCAAAGGAAUUGACGGGGGCCCGCACAACGGUGGAGCAUGUGGUUUAAUUCGAAGCAACGCGAAGAACCU
RNAcentral lists this ribosomal RNA (610 nucleotides) under Streptococcus mutans. RNAcentral describes it as "bacterial SSU rRNA". It matches the Rfam family "Bacterial small subunit ribosomal RNA", at positions 369 to 971 of the family's 1533-position model. Lineage: Bacteria; Bacillati; Bacillota; Bacilli; Lactobacillales; Streptococcaceae. The record is from RNAcentral.